RNAcentral lists this ribosomal RNA (86 nucleotides) under Tenacibaculum dicentrarchi. The record is from RNAcentral. RNAcentral also lists the same sequence under 2 other names. Lineage: Bacteria; Pseudomonadati; Bacteroidota; Flavobacteriia; Flavobacteriales; Flavobacteriaceae.
UCACCUCUUUCCAUCCCGAACAGAGAAGUUAAGCCCAUUUGCGCCGAUGGUACUGCCAAUGGUGGGAGAGUAGGUCGUUGCCUUUC